CCGAACUGAAAAUCAAGGAUGAUUUCUUGACGUUAACUCCUUUACAAGCAAUCAUGAAUGGAAGUCUUGAUUCAAAAAUUUUAGUUGAUGUUAUUGGCCGUGCCAUUGAUAUUGGCGAUCUUCAAGUUGUCCGAGUAGGUGGGAAAAAAAAUAUGAUGGGACUUACAUUGACCGAUACAAAAGUAAGUUGAUAAACUUCUUAAGAUUUGUUGACAUCUUACUAAAUUUGUAUUAUAUGAUUUUAACUACCGACCAUCUAUUAUCAGUGACCAACAAAUUGGAUGUUGUCUUUGGAGUCGUUUUGCUGAACAAGUUUUAGCUGCUUACAAAGAUGGUGAAGAGAACAAUAUUCUCUGUUUAUUGAGAUUUUCUAAAAUCAAUGUUUACAAGGGUAAGUUUCUAACCAACGACUUUUAUUUGUUAUUAUAAUUAUUGGUUUUUUUAUUAGCUAAAAUAUUAUUUUACAUUUAUUUUAGGGCAAGUGCAGAUAACAAACGCAUUUGAAAUUUCCAGUAUGGUCAUCAAUCCAACCGGAUUUGAUGUGGAAGAUUAUCCAGCACAAGCAUUGGUCCCAAAUAAUGAGCUUGCAAUCACAAGUGGUAGUGGUGAGAUUGAAAAACCUAAAGGAAUCAAACGCCAAACAGAGAAGUGGUCUCUUUAUCCAGAUAGAUCAAUAUUGGAUAUCCUACUGUCAACUGAGAUUGAGAAAUGUAUUGUUAAAGCAAACUGUUUAUGGAAUAGACACAGACUGGGCAUGGUAUUAUUUUGGUUGUGUCAAGUGCAACAA
Molecule: long non-coding RNA, 787 nt
Organism: Brassica oleracea var. oleracea
Lineage: Eukaryota; Viridiplantae; Streptophyta; Magnoliopsida; Brassicales; Brassicaceae
Exons: 4
Source: RefSeq, a predicted model, not a curated record